This 515-nucleotide ribosomal RNA is filed under the name uncultured bacterium. Its description in RNAcentral is "partial 16S ribosomal RNA". It matches the Rfam family "Bacterial small subunit ribosomal RNA", at positions 28 to 523 of the family's 1533-position model. The record is from RNAcentral.
GACGAACGCUGGCGGCGUGCCUAAUACAUGCAAGUCGAGCGGACUUUCAAGAAGCUUGCUUUUUGAAAGUUAGCGGCGGACGGGUGAGUAACACGUGGGCCACCUGCCUGUAAGACGGGGAUAACUCCGGGAAACCGGGGCUAAUACCGGAUAAUAUCUUUCUUCGCAUGAAGGAAGGUUGAAAGGCGGCGCAAGCUGCCGCUUGCAGAUGGGCCCGCGGCGCAUUAGCUAGUUGGUGAGGUAACGGCCAACCAAGGCGACGAUGCGUAGCGGACCUGAGAGGGUGAUCGGCCACACUGGGACUGAGACACGGCCCAGACUCCUACGGGAGGCAGCAGUAGGGAAUCUUCCGCAAUGGACGAAAGUCUGACGGAGCAACGCCGCGUGAGCGAAGAAGGUCUUCGGAUCGUAAAGCUCUGUUGUCAGGGAAGAACAAGUACCGUUCGAAUAGGGCGGUACCUUGACGGUACCUGACCAGAAAGCCACGGCUAACUACGUGCCAGCCGCCGCAGUAA